GGGCUAAACAUAUUACCGAAGCUGUGGAUUGUCCUUUGGACAAUGGUAGGAGAGCGUUCUAAGGGCGUUGAAGCAUGAUCGUAAGGACAUGUGGAGCGCUUAGAAGUGAGAAUGCCGGUGUGAGUAGCGAAAGACGGGUGAGAAUCCCGUCCACCGAUUGACUAAGGUUUCCAGAGGAAGGCUCGUCCGCUCUGGGUUAGUCGGGUCCUAAGCUGAGGCCGACAGGCGUAGGCGAUGGAUAACAGGUUGAUAUUCCUGUACCACCUAUAAUCGUUUUAAUCGAUGGGGGGACGCAGUAGGAUAGGCGAAGCGUGCGAUUGGAUUG
This 325-nucleotide ribosomal RNA is filed under the name Leptospira borgpetersenii serovar Hardjo-bovis. RNAcentral describes it as "partial 23S ribosomal RNA". It matches the Rfam family "Bacterial large subunit ribosomal RNA", at positions 1178 to 1505 of the family's 2925-position model. The record is from RNAcentral. Lineage: Bacteria; Pseudomonadati; Spirochaetota; Leptospiria; Leptospirales; Leptospiraceae.